RNAcentral lists this ribosomal RNA (693 nucleotides) under uncultured bacterium. RNAcentral describes it as "bacterial SSU rRNA". It matches the Rfam family "Bacterial small subunit ribosomal RNA", at positions 94 to 792 of the family's 1533-position model. The record is from RNAcentral.
AGUGGCGGACGGGUGAGUAACGCGUGGACAACCUGCCGUGUACAGGGGGAUAACAGCCGGAAACGGCUGCUAAUACCGCAUAUGCGCACAGUGCCGCAUGGUACAGUGCGGAAAGCCUAGAUCUUAUCUAGUACGGUACACGAUGGGUCCGCGUCUGAUUAGGUAGUUGGCGGGGUAACGGCCCACCAAGCCCACGAUCAGUAGCCGGCCUGAGAGGGCGGACGGCCACACUGGGACUGAGACACGGCCCAGACUCCUGCGGGAGGCAGCAGUGGGGAAUAUUGCACAAUGGGGGGAACCCUGAUGCAGCGACGCCGCGUGAAGGAAGAAGUAUCUCGGUAUGUAAACUUCUAUCAGCAGGGAAGAAAGAGGACGGUACCUGACUAAGAAGCCCCGGCUAACUACGUGCCAGCAGCCGCGGUAAUACGUAGGGGGCGAGCGUUAUCCGGAUUUACUGGGUGUAAAGGGAGCGUAGACGGCCAUGCAAGCUCGGUGUGAAAGGUGCGGGCACAACCCGCANACUGCACUGAGAACUGUAUGGCUGGAGUGCCGGAGGGGCAGGCGGAAUUCCUGGUGUAGCGGUGAAAUGCGUAGAUAUCAGGAGGAACACCGGUGGCGAAGGCGGCCUGCUGGACGGCGACUGACGUUGAGGCUCGAAAGCGUGGGGAGCGAACAGGAUUAAAUACCCUGGUA